This 548-nucleotide ribosomal RNA is filed under the name uncultured Glomeromycotina. RNAcentral's name for it is "SSU rRNA". It matches the Rfam family "Eukaryotic small subunit ribosomal RNA", at positions 550 to 1109 of the family's 1831-position model. The record is from RNAcentral. Lineage: Eukaryota; Fungi; Glomeromycota.
CUUGAGGGCAAGUCUGGUGCCAGCAGCCGCGGUAAUUCCAGCUCCAAUAGCGUAUAUUAAAGUUGUUGCAGUUAAAAAGCUCGUAGUUGGAUUUCGGGAUUAGUACGUUGGUCGUGCCUUCGGUACGUACUGGUGUUACUGAUUCCUACCUUCUGACGAACCAUCAUGUCAUUAAUUUGGUGUGGCGGGGAAUCAGGACUGUUACUUUGAAAAAAUUAGAGUGUUUAAAGCAGGCUCGCGCUUGAAUACAUUAGCAUGGAAUAAUGAAAUAGGACGUUGAUCCUAUUUUGUUGGUUUCUAGGAUUGACGUAAUGAUUAAUAGGGAUAGUUGGGGGCAUUAGUAUUCAAUUGUCAGAGGUGAAAUUCUUGGAUUUAUUGAAGACUAACUACUGCGAAAGCAUUUGCCAAGGAUGUUUUCAUUAAUCAAGAACGAAAGUUAGGGGAUCGAAGACGAUCAGAUACCGUCGUAGUCUUAWCCAUAAACUAUGCCGACUAGGGAUCGGAUGAUGUUAAUUUUUUAAUGACUCAUUCGGCGCCUUACGGGAAAC